CGGGUCGGGGGGAGCCGGAGUUUGUCCGAAGGCAGAGCGGGGCAGAGGCCGUAGGCCGCCCUGGUUUGCCCGUGGGCCGUUUUUGUGCCCCGACGUCCCCCUGCGCGCCGCUCUCUGCCGAGGCUGCAAGCGGCUGUGGCUCCUGAAGCCAGUGAAGGAGAAACAGCAGGCUGAGGUGAAACAACAUUCAACAAAACCUCAUCAAAUGCUUUCAGAGAUCUCUGAAAAAAAGUAUUGUUGUGCUUAAAAUUGAGUAUUAUCUGCUACACGACUUUGUUUUCAUUUGAAACCUGACUGUCCCAUUCUCCCCAUUUUCAUUUAAGAAUGAAAAUGCAUGUUACAUUAAAGAUACUGCUACCUUUUUCUGUAAGUAGUUACUCUAAAAAUAUAACAGUUCUUACAUGCACACUGUUAUGACUGCGGCAUUUGGCCAGGGAUGAAAACAAUCAUCUGAUUACUUGCAUACUUACAGUGAUAUGCAGAAGUCUGAUGGAUUAAAGGAUUUUCUGAGGCCAAAACUAAUAUCUGUAUUCACUCAUCCUUUGUUUUUAAAUUAAGUUUUGUUUUUGUUUUUUUUUUAAAGCAUCUGAGCAGUGAAACUCUCAAUAGCUUUAGAAAGAUUUUCCUCUAAAGACGUUUGAAUGCCUACUUUUUAAUUGUCAACAAAUCUCAUCUAGAGAAAAAAUGUAAAGAUUUCAUAGGAUUUGAAAGAUCUGCCUGUUUUAGGCAAAUUCUUACUAUGAUUGAAACAAAUGAAGGAAGGAGUGAUGAUAUUCCAAUUUCUAAAACUUUUGGUCUUCACUCUUACUACACCUGUUGUUUAUACCCAUUCCAGUCUUUGUACAUUGAAUUAAGGUAAGGAAACUUUAAAACAGAGAACAUAAGGUCUUUGCCAUUAGUUUACAUGAAAGUGUAUACAAAAGUAAAAUAUUUUUGGUACAGAACAUGGAACUGGAGCAUCUGAAAAAUAAAAAUUGUAAUUAAAAUUCAUAUACAGCUUCCUUUUUUCAAAGUAUCUUCUCUCAGUAUUGACAUAUUGACAAUCUAAGAUACUUUAAUGUUAUUUUAGACCCUUUCCAGUAAUGCAUAGAGCACUGUCACCUUUUGUGAAAAUACUCACCGCUGUUUCAGUGUGGCGAUGCUGUUUCUUUUCUGUUGGGAUUAUUAAAAAGCUCCUACAGCUCAUCUACAAGAGCAAAAUGGAGACAGUCUGGAUAGUGGGGUUAUUUUUUCAAUCCAUUUGAGGAGGGUGAUUUGUAGCAACAGUACAUAUGGCACUAAUUAUUGAGAUUUGAGUAGACUUUGGUGUAGCUUCCUGCCUAAAGAAGAAAAAAAGAACACUUAUUCAAGUGUGCAUUAUCUAUACAUCCAAAGAAAUUGCGUUUUACUCCUUCAUUUUAGGCUUAAGUAGCAGUCACAAGAGAUUAAAUGCUGUUAAGUGUAAUGAAGCGUGAAGAUGACAAGAAAAAUGAACCAGAGGUGCCUUGUCUCACAAUUCCUGGCAGUACAAAUUUUAUAUUCCAGACAUAAAUGUCACCUUGGGAUUGAAAUCAUACUACGUGAAUCUGUGUGAGUAUUUUUUUUCCAAUUACCUUCCUGCUUUAAAUAUAGAAAAGAAAAUGAGUCCUCCUGAAUUAAGAGAUGUGUUAAUUGCAUGUGGGAUUUGUGAUGGAAAGUUCUCUCUAAAAUAAACAGUAACAGAAGUUGGUCUUUCGCAUAUUAGGAAGAAAACCUGCUUCUAGCGAGAGAAUGCUAGACUACACUGACACUGGUCUCUUACAACGUUAUUACUGGGCUGAUAUAUGUAGCACAGUAUAUUAGAAUUGUUAGUUGUAUCAUAACAAAAUAUUUUUCUGUAGUUUUUCUUUUAAGUCCCUUAAAAACCACAUGCAGAAGGUUACUUCUCAUGUAUAUGAGAAGUAUAUGUAUAUGUGUAUGUGUAUAAGUGUAAGUAUAUGUGAGUUUUGGCAACUGUCUGAUAUGAAUGAUGUGCUGGUGGGCUUCUGAAAGCCUGAAGAACAGGAAUCAGGUAGUGAGCCUACAAGAGUCUUCAGAAAAGAUAUUUACAAAGUAUUUAUCUAUUAUAAAAAAUAAAAAAAAAAAAAGCUGUCUAAGGGUCUUGAUUAAUAAACUUAAAAAAGCCUCUAUGAAUUUAGUUCCCCUUCUUCAUUACAUACAGACAAUAUUGAUUUGAAAUUUAUUAGCAGUGUUUCAUUAGUACCAGUGGAGGGCAGACUUGAAUUGGAAACUAUUUUUGCAACUUUGAUUUCUUAAAAUACAAGAUAGUCCCUCAAGCUCAGAGCUGGUGGCAAUCUCAUCACUUCUCCACAAUGCUAAUUACUCUUGCGCUGGAUAAAAGCUUCUUUACAAUUGCUGUUUGACAAAAUGAGUGUUUUGCUAUGUCACAGAAAAAAAAUGGUGAAUGUUUAAAUAAAAUGGUAAUAUGAAAGUGGAUGAGUCAAUUUAUUAGCAGCUGCAUGAUAUUCCCUGGGGAGAGUGCACACUGGUAAGCAAUUAAUCAUGUAUAUCUUAAAAUGGUUUUAAACAGCGAGUGAAUAUCAUUAUCCCCACUUUACAGAUGAAGAAACUAAGGAAUAGGGAGGUAGCCUUGUGAGAUAUCUGUCUAGAUGACCCGCAGAAGCAAGAACAAAAUCCAGAUUUCCAUGAUCUAGUCCGGUGCUGAAAGCGCAGCUUCUUACAUAAAGAUGGCACGUCAAGCUGUUGCAAACAUUGUGGAAAUGAUGCAGCCCACAUUGCUGGGGAGCUUACAUUGGUGAAAUAGACAGGUAACUUGAGAGGCAGAGCAUAGCUCCUGAGAAGAAUAUUGUCCUUAGGAGGUUAGGUGGAGGUCAGAUCAGGUGGCCAAAGAUCUGCGUUAUAAAUAGUAUGUGAUUACUAAAACAAGUACUCUGCAUUUUUAUAUAUAUUUGUCAUUCUUUAGGUUAGACUGUACUCUCUCCAAGGAAGGAGCCUUUCUAUGUAGGCCUUCAAAGCCUAGGAAAUGUGUAGCUAAAAUGUCAAUUUGCAUACAAGUGAAGGAUUAAGAUGCUAAAAAAUUGUGCCUUCUCUCCCAUCAUCUUAAACUACAAGCAGAACAUGAGGCUUCCUAUGAACUCAUCAAGCGCACUUUAUCUGCUGUACCCAUGGUCAAUAGCAUUCAUGGGAUUUGUGUGACUCAUCACUGGGUGCUAUCCUUCAUUAAGGCGCUACAUUGAAUAGCUAAUUAGUCACUAAUUUUAUUUGAUUAAAUGUAUGUAUUCCACUUUCUCUAUAUGCUCUUAUGAGGUCAUUACCCGUUACAACAGCUUUUUAAAGCAUAAAAUGGCUCUGCUUUUUUUUUUUUUAAAUUAGCCUUAGCAUAUAGAUUGUUCUUUCCCUUUCUAGAAAGGGCUGGAGGCACACUGUUCCAAAUUCUCCAUUUCUAAGACUUGUAUCAGAUAUACCACAGAACAUUUGGUGCUGCAUAUUAAAAACUCUGUAGAGUGAACAAGCACUUUACACAUUGUAUUCCCCCCCCCCGUUUUUUUUUCUUUUUGCCAAUUUGCAGCGGGCAACAUGCUGAUGGUGUGAAUUAGUCAUUAGUUUAUGACUGAAGAAAAGGACCACAUGGAAAUUGUAAGUUAGAAUGUAAGUGGACACUUACAGUUCAGACUGAAAUACUGCAUAACCUGUUACUGUGUUACUCAUUUUUGGUUUAUUUCCAAAUAAAUCAUGUUUAAAAAAAAGGAGUCAGAAAUAGCUGGCAGGGAUUUAAAGUACAAUGUGACAAUUAUCCCAAAACCUAUUACUUUACAUUCAAGCAGGUUGAAGAUUUCUCAGUGUACUUUAUUAUUUUGUGCCUCAGAAAGAGCUGACAUCUCCAAAUAUCACUGUCUAUAGCUCACAGAGACUCUCCUGUGUAGCUCUCCUCUAUGUGACCACUAGUUGAAGGCAUUUUACUUACAAACUGAUUUUGCAGCAAACCUCUGUACCUGUUAGCUCACAGGAAGCAAGAAAGAUAAUGGUUCGACUAACUAAAACCAUUGCUUUAGGAAAUGUGUUUUCCAGUGUUGGACCUCUUUAAUUCAUCCCUAAUUAUAAAUUGCUAUCUCUAAGAUUCCAAAAAAUUGUUUAAUGCUCCCAGGGCAAAUGCUGUGAUUUGGGGCAGAAUAUGUAUAAUAAUAUCAUUUUUUUCAGUGUAAAAUUAAACCUUAACUCCAGCAAACCACCAAUGUCUUCCAGUAUUUUUCAGAUUUACUGUAUUUCAAUAUGCAGAAUCUUUAACUUGCAUGGCUAAUCUCAUUUCUUAGUCUUUCAGCAGAAAGAAGUCUCUUCAUUCUCAGUGCAGAAGUACAAUACAACAGAAGAACCAAUGCAUUCUCGAGGUGGAGAGAAGAGCUGUGGGUUCACGGUAAGGACAGAUUUAUCUGGGGCAGAUGGAUGCUAAGCCCAUCUUCCCAGCUUGUAGGUGCCUUUGUUCACCUUUCGCUCCAUAACAAAACCACGAACUCCUUGAUAAAAUUUCCUUUGGAUUAUAACCGUAGAUAAAUAAAUCCAUUCUGCAUUCUUACAGUUUUCGUGGCAGAUAGCUUCUAAGCUGGAAACGUAAAAAUCACAUACAAAUAAAUAAGCGUUGAGAAAGCAAUUACGUGACAGAAAGUGUACGUGAAAAUUUAUGAUGAAGAUGCCCUGAAUACGGGGAUGAAUGAAAGGAUAGUUCCGCAGCACCAGCUGUAUCUGUUCAAUAUACCGAGUUAAGUAAGACUUUUACCUGGAUGUUGUUACCUCUGUAACUAAUUGCAUCUUAAAAGCAUUGACAGUUGUUAAGGGGAAACAAACUUGUGCAUUUGGGCAUGGCAGGUCUUUCCUGCUGUAAGCUUCACAGGAGUUUCUACCUCUGCACUGAUCUUUUCUUAUACCACUCUUAGGUGAUAGGUCUUCUCUUUUGUUUGUAAUCAACUCUCCCUUUUAUUUGUAAUUUAUAAAAUAUUCAAAAAGCUCAUGAUUUUAGAGUAACUAAGAUAUUAUUACCCUAGAAGCAUAAAAUGUCACUAUCAUGUGCAUUCGUUCUGCUGAGCAGGCCCAUCUCAGUAACAGAGGGAGCUGCAGAUGAUGGAAACUGACAGAGCAGUAGCUAUUGCUGUAAGCAGACAGAGCAGAAGUUAUUGCUGCAUUUCUUGACACAAAAACACAUGGAUGGGUAUAUACUGUGUGAAAAAAACACUACAUUGUUGUGUGCUUAUGACAAAAAUAGUAAGAAUCCUUUGCCGAUAAAAUAUUAUUAUUUUUGGAAAAACAAAACCAAAAUCAAGAAAGAGCAAAUAAGUGUAUGUAACACGUAGUCCCAUGUGAUCAAAAUUAGUUAUUUUGGCAAUAUACUUCCAGAAAUGGGAGUUUUAACAAGAAUGAAAAUUGCUUCCGCAUCACAUGGAAGUAAAGCUUAACUGCUGUCAGGUUGCCAGAACCCUUAAAUGAGCGCUCAAGUGUCAUUCCCCCUUUCAGUGAUUUCAUAUAUUUAUACUUACUGUCACAAGUAGGAAAGGCUCAGCAAGGAUUUGUUCCUUGUUUAGAAGUUUGUGGGGUCUGCUACCUGACAGCAGGCUGUGCUUCCAGCAGCUGAAGCUCUUACUCAUCACAAAUCUUGUCCCUGACAUACUUCAGCAUCCAACACUUCUUUUACACCUUCUGGGAUCUUGCAUAUAGGAAUUUCUUUUUCUUCCCAGUUGGCUCCAAGCCAGAAAUACAUCCAUUUACGCAGAAGAUUCUUAACUUUGUUCAUGCUGUUUUUUUGGUGUUUGUUUCCUUAGUAGGUUCUGCUUCUGUAGACUGUUGAGUACUAAUUACACGUACACGUAUUAUGAAAGUCUGUGUGGUUUUCUACAUUAUAAAUCACAGACACACUCAAAAGUGGUAGGAUGCUUGAAUACUGGCUUGCAACAUCCCAGAUCCAGGCCCUGUACUGACAGCAAGUGGUUCCCACACUGCAAGGUUGCAGUCAGCUGUGGCAAGCAGCGUUCCAGUCAUUAAGACUAAGUGCUGUUCAGCAGCAAGGCAGCUUUCCCUGGCCAGGCCAGUGAGAAGAAAUCGCAAUUACCCAAUCAGUGUCACGGCACUGAAACCGCACAGUGCCUCAGCCAGCCAGGUUAGCAAGGUCGGGUCCCUUCCUCCAGAGGAAGGUUCAUGCUGCAGUUUGGCCUCGCCCACCUCCGGGCAGCUGAGUUUCUGUCAGGAGAGCAAGAAGUUUGAGAAGUGCUGCUAAAAGGGCUCAUAUUGUCUGACAUCACGUGACAAGAAAAAAUAAACUCUUUUGACCACAAGCCGUAAUGACUCUGAUCUCUGUGUAAGCUUUCAGUGGCAUCAGUGCUGCUGCGUCCUGCUUUUGGUUUUGCCCUGUUCACUUGAAUUAUUCCGUGCAUUGCACAGAGAGGCUCAAAUACCGCUCCUGUAAGCCAGAUGCUGGGAGCAGCUACAGCUGCCAGCACAGAAAUACAGAUACCAGCACCAGAAGUCAUCCUUAUUUUGUUGUCUCUCACUGAGGUUUCCACAUGCAGAAGCAGCUACGUGGAAGGAGCAGCUCUUGGGAGGAGUGCAUAUCCCUGCAGCUCUGUGACACUGUUGCAAAAUAUCACAUUUGAUCUCCGAGUAAAAUGGAAAAGGCAGAAUGAUAUUUUUGUUUCAGCCUGACAAAGCAAAUCUACACCAUAACUAAAGAGACACAAGUGCAGACAGUGGGAUGUAUGAGCACUUCAAUUUUCAGCGUGAGUACUAACCCUGCUGAGCAUGCUGCUCCAAAAAGUCCGGUGCUUCUGCAGACACCAAUUCACAGAUAGAUCCCUGUGCUUUCAGAAGUACAAAUGCUUUUGAGAAGUGCCAAUCAGCUCAGCCUGGUAGAGCAGAGCGUCCCGAGCAACCUCCGGUGGGCUCCUGCUUCUCCCCUCUUGGCUUCACACAUAGCUGGAGCCCAACUGCAGCCAAAGCGGAGACGCCUGCAUUCUUCAGGGGCUGUGGUCAGGAAUGUGCCUUCAGAGCGGCCACGAUGCAGCUGGAAGAAGAGCUGCAGGUGCGCCCCACAACUGGAUCCACAACCCCAACUGCACAGGACCAAGCAAAGAAAAACAAUGGGAUCUGUGCUCACCGUGCUGCUGCAGAAGGCACAGAGCUUGUGUACUGGAAGCUCUGGUUCCGCCUGGUUAUCUGAGCGCCAGCCUGAAAAAAACAAAUGUGAAAGCCAACACUUUCAGGUGACAACCUGCUUGCAAGAGGUACACAUUCACGAAGCCAUGUGCCCAGAGCAGGCCGGGUAAACUCCGGUGCAAGUAUGUGCAAUGACAACACACAGAGAUGAGGGGUGACAGUCUGCUCUCCUGGGCACCAACACUGGCACUCUGCUGAAGGCAAAAGUUGCAGUGUUGGCUGAUUGAGAGGACAGAAAGUUAACCUUCGUUUCAGGGACAUUUUGUCCAACAACUUCCACAAGGAUCUACAGUUAUUGAUAGAAUUUGUCUCCCAUCAAGAAAACUCCAGAAAGUGACAAGAAAACCAUCGAUGCUCAAGUGCAUACAGCCAGGGCACUGCCCACAGCCACCCCCACACUGAUUCCCUGUCAGUUCCCGCGGCACAGCCCAGUGCCUGGGAUGCCCCAGGAAGCAGGCAGCGGGGCAUGAGCUCUGGGCACAGCACAAAGCCCAGCAGGAGGUGGCCACCCACACUGCAGUUUGGUGGGUCUCAGAGCAGCAGAGCUCUUCGCUUUGUGUCUCAUUUUGUUCAGCUUCUUCAUUCAUUCAAAGCUGCCUGCAGAGACAGAUAUGGAGGAAGCGUACCAGACAGAGCCGCUCUUACAGCUCCUGUUUUGUUCUCCAGUCACCUCUUUCCCCACAGCUGAGCACAGAGAGUGCUUUAUGCAAUGACUUCUUUCUUUCAGGCAUGAAACAAAACUGUCCCUCAGUGCUGAGCGGUACCGUGCCGGCUCUUCAUGGAGGAGGAAGGAGUAAUUACAGGGAUUACGAGCGUGGCGCUGAAUGUCAAUGUAUAUUAAAGCUGUUUAAUAUCUUGAAAUAGAAUAUUCUUCCACCUAAGGUGCUGUCUUU
This is a long non-coding RNA of Numida meleagris (helmeted guineafowl), 8066 nucleotides long. RefSeq lists it as uncharacterized. NCBI's taxonomy places the organism in Eukaryota, Metazoa, Chordata, Aves, Galliformes, Numididae. The record is from RefSeq and is a predicted model, not a curated record. The transcript is spliced from 3 exons.